This 465-nucleotide ribosomal RNA is filed under the name uncultured bacterium. Its description in RNAcentral is "partial 16S ribosomal RNA". It matches the Rfam family "Bacterial small subunit ribosomal RNA", at positions 28 to 507 of the family's 1533-position model. The record is from RNAcentral.
GACGAACGCUGGCGGCGUGCUUAACACAUGCAAGUCGAACGGAAAGGCCCCCUUGUUGGGUACUCGAGUGGCGAACGGGUGAGUAACACGUCAGUAACCUACCCUUGACUUUGGGAUAACUUCAGGAAACUGGGGCUAAUACCGGAUAGGAGCUCCUGCUGCAUGGUGGGGGUUGGAAAGUUUCGGCGGUUGGGGAUGGACUCGCGGCUUAUCAGCUUGUUGGUGGGGUAGUGGCUGACCAAGGCUUGGACGGGUAGCCGGCCUGAGAGGGUGACCGGCCACAUGGGGACGGAGAUACGGCCCAGACGCCUACGGGAGGCAGCAGGGGGGAAUAUUGCACAGUGGGCGGAAGCCUGAUGCAGCAACGCCGCGUGCGGGAUGACGGGCUGCGGGUGGUAAACCGCUUUCGCCUGGGAAGAAGAGUGAGUGACGGUAAUGGGUAAAGAAGCACCGGCUAACUACGUG